CAGCAGCCACGGUAAAACAGAGGGUGCGAGCGUUAAUCGGAAUUACUGGGCGUAAAGCGCGCGUAGGUGGUUUGUUAAGUUGGAUGUGAAAUCCCCGGGCUCAACCUGGGAACUGCAUCCAAAACUGGCAAGCUAGAGUAUGGUAGAGGGUGGUGGAAUUUCCUGUGUAGCGGUGAAAUGCGUAGAUAUAGGAAGGAACACCAGUGGCGAAGGCGACCACCUGGACUGAUACUGACACUGAGGUGCGAAAGCGUGGGGAGCAAACAGGAUUAGAUACCCGCGUAGUCCCUGUCUCUUAUAC
Molecule: ribosomal RNA, 301 nt
Filed under: uncultured bacterium
Lineage: Bacteria
Description: partial 16S ribosomal RNA
Rfam family: Bacterial small subunit ribosomal RNA
Source: RNAcentral